CGGGCGGUGGCUGAUUGUUAGGUGAUGGAUUGUAGCUCUGUUUAAGGAAUUUUUCCCCGCCUGAGA
Molecule: transfer RNA, 66 nt
Filed under: Micrura ignea
Lineage: Eukaryota; Metazoa; Nemertea; Pilidiophora; Heteronemertea; Lineidae
Description: tRNA-Tyr
Source: RNAcentral